UGGACACAAUCCCUUCUUAAUUUCCUUC
RNAcentral lists this non-coding RNA (28 nucleotides) under Rattus norvegicus (Norway rat). The record is from RNAcentral. Lineage: Eukaryota; Metazoa; Chordata; Mammalia; Rodentia; Muridae.